RNAcentral lists this ribosomal RNA (254 nucleotides) under uncultured bacterium. Its description in RNAcentral is "partial 16S ribosomal RNA". It matches the Rfam family "Bacterial small subunit ribosomal RNA", at positions 524 to 776 of the family's 1533-position model. The record is from RNAcentral.
UACGUAGGGUGCGAGCGUUAAUCGGAAUUACUGGGCGUAAAGCGUGCGCAGGCGGUUUUUCAAGACCGAUGUGAAAUCCCCGGGCUUAACCUGGGAAUGGCAUUGGUGACUGGAAGGCUAGAGUGUGUCAGAGGGGGGGUAGAAUUCCACGUGUAGCAGUGAAAUGCGUAGAGAUGUGGAGGAAUACCGAUGGCGAAGGCAGCCCCCUGGGAUAACACUGACGCUCAUGCACGAAAGCGUGGGGAGCAAACAGG